Molecule: unclassified non-coding RNA, 1166 nt
Filed under: Acyrthosiphon pisum (pea aphid)
Lineage: Eukaryota; Metazoa; Arthropoda; Insecta; Hemiptera; Aphididae
Description: myelin expression factor 2, transcript variant X1
Source: RNAcentral
UAAUAUAAAACCAUUAUUGACAGAAACAUAAAUGUAUAUUUUAUUUAUUGUUUAUAUUGUUUAAAGAAAAUUGAAUUCUAUGUAUAAAGUAAACUUAUUUUUCUAUUCCUUUAUCGGUAGAAUUCAAAUGAAUUCAAGAGUUGCACCUUUGUUUAUUCAAUGCUGUUGUAUUAUUUUAAAUGUAAUAAGAAUGCGGUUAUUAUGGUUGACUCUGAGUGAUCUACAUGCUCGAUCAUUGCAUUUAAAUUUUCCAAUAGAGUUCAAGUACUUUUUUAUAUUAGGCCUUCUUUCUCUGUCCCCUAGUUGUAUUUUAUUGUUUUGGAGUUUGAAACAAAGCAAUUUUAUUGAAGACUUAUUGACAACAAUUAAAGCCAUUUUGACAACUCUCAGUUUGAUGUUGUAUUUUUUGUCUUGUGCUUACAACAGACAUAGCAUACGGUUAUGUUAUGUAAAAUGUUUGGACGUCUUGUCCUACAACAAAAAUACAUGUCUAAAAAUGUCGUCUGUAUUUAUUAUAAGUGGUAUGCAUUUGUUUUGGUUGGUUGUGUUUUUUGUCAACUCAAUGACAACCCAAGAGCCUGCCAUCAAUCUAGUGCUUUAUGCUCAAGAUUUCGUCUGUUUCAUGUUUGAAAUGCAAUUUUACGUGAUCUUAUUGCUGUUGAAAUCAUCACUUGAAAUGGUCACUCAUAGGAUAUCCAACUUUUUUCAUAUGAUCAAGGAAAACAAAAUUGAUACAAAACUUAUUUUGCCAGAUUACUUUGCGAAUUGUUUAGAAGAUACUAGAUUGUUACAUAUGGAGAUAUUUGAUAUAAUGGUUAAUGUUAAUAGAAUAUAUGGGCUUAAUACAUUAACCAUAAUUAUUCAAUCAAGAAUUUUAUUGGCCAUAAACUUGUAUUCAUAUAUAACAAGUUUUUCAUUAAUUGAACUUUUAGAGAGUAUGGCAACAUUUCAAAGAGUUGCAUUGUUAUGUUAUUGCUGUGAACUGAUCAAACGAAAUUUUUCAGGAAAAUAUUAUUAAAAGUAUGGUUAAUGAAAUGGAUACAAAUUUACUGCCAGGAGAAAAUUAUAAACAACAGAGACUUUUAUUUAAUCACCAAGUACAAAAAUUGAAGUUUGAUUUGGAUGCUUUAGAAAUGUUUCCAAUAAAUUUAGAAACACUCUUAUCU